This 255-nucleotide ribosomal RNA is filed under the name uncultured bacterium. RNAcentral's name for it is "partial 16S ribosomal RNA". It matches the Rfam family "Bacterial small subunit ribosomal RNA", at positions 524 to 777 of the family's 1533-position model. The record is from RNAcentral.
UACGGAGGGAGCUAGCGUUAUUCGGAAUUACUGGGCGUAAAGCGCACGUAGGCGGCUUUGUAAGUAAGAGGUGAAAGCCCGGAGCUCAACUCCGGAACUGCCUUUUAGACUGCAUCGCUUGAAUCCAGGAGAGGUGAGUGGAAUUCCGAGUGUAGAGGUGAAAUUCGUAGAUAUUCGGAAGAACACCAGUGGCGAAGGCGGCUCACUGGAGCUGGUAUUGACGCUGAGGUGCGAAAGCGUGGGGAGCGAACGAGG